Molecule: unclassified non-coding RNA, 338 nt
Filed under: soil metagenome
Description: partial contains 5.8S ribosomal RNA, internal transcribed spacer 2, and large subunit ribosomal RNA
Rfam family: 5.8S ribosomal RNA (bases 1-119)
Source: RNAcentral
GAUGAAGAACGUAGCGAAAUGCGAUAAGUAGUGUGAAUUGCAGAAUUCAGUGAAUCAUCGAAUCUUUGAACGCACAUUGCGCCCCUGGUAUUCCGUGGGGCAUGCCUGUUCGAGCGUCAUUUAACCCCUCAAGCCUAGCUUGGUAUUGGGUGCUUGUCCCGCCUCUCGCGCGGCGACUCACCUCAAAGUCAUUGGCAGCCCGCAUCUCGCCGGCCGUGAGCGCAGCACAGACGCGCUCUUGGCAACGACGGAUCGGCUCUCCAAAAGCUUAUUUCAACCACUGACCUCGGAUCAGGUAGGGAUACCCGCUGAACUUAAGCAUAUCAAUAAGCGGAGGA